ACUCCUACGGGAGGCAGCAGUGGGCCAUCUUAGACAUUCGGGGCAACCCUGAUCUAGCCAUGCGGCGUGAGUGAUGAAGGCCUUAGGGUUGUAAAGCUCUUUCAGCUGGGAAGAUAAUGACGGGACCAGCAGAAGAAGCCCCGGCUUACUCCGUGCCAGCAGCCGCGGUAAU
Molecule: ribosomal RNA, 172 nt
Filed under: uncultured bacterium
Lineage: Bacteria
Description: partial 16S ribosomal RNA
Rfam family: Bacterial small subunit ribosomal RNA
Source: RNAcentral